This 492-nucleotide ribosomal RNA is filed under the name uncultured bacterium. Its description in RNAcentral is "partial 16S ribosomal RNA". It matches the Rfam family "Bacterial small subunit ribosomal RNA", at positions 29 to 507 of the family's 1533-position model. The record is from RNAcentral.
AGUGAACGCUGGCGGUAUGCCUAACACAUGCAAGUCGAACGGCAGCACAGUAAGAGCUUGCUCUUACGGGUUGCGAGUGGCGUACGUGUGAGGAAUACAUCGGAAUCUACUUUUUCGUGGGGGAUAACGUAGGUAAACUUACUCUAAUACCGCAUACGACCUACGGGUGAAAGCAUGGGAUCUUCGGACCUUGCGCGAUUGAAUGAGCCGAUGUCGGAUUAGCUAGUUGGCGGGGUAAAGGCCCACCAAGGCGACGAUCCGUAGCUGGUCUGAGAGGAUGAUCAGCCACACUGGAACUGAGACACGGUCCAGACUACUACGGGAGGCAGCAGUGGGGAAUAUUGGACAAUGGGCGCAAGCCUGAUCCAGCCAUACCGCGUGGGUGAAGAAGGCCUUCGGGUUGUAAAGACCUUUUGUUGGGAAAGAAAAGCAGCAGGUUAAUACCCAGCUGUUCUGACGGUAACCAAAGAAUAAGCACCGGCUAACUUCGUG